Long non-coding RNA from Talpa occidentalis (Iberian mole), 794 nucleotides. RefSeq lists it as uncharacterized. The transcript is spliced from 3 exons. Lineage: Eukaryota; Metazoa; Chordata; Mammalia; Eulipotyphla; Talpidae. The record is from RefSeq and is a predicted model, not a curated record.
GGGUCAUGAAGAAGAGGCGGCGGCGGGAGGAAGGAGGAGGUGGUGGGGGCGCGAAAUUGCGGUAGCUGCCCGCUGGGCUGGUGGUUUGGCUUUGUGGGAAGGGCGUAGUUCGUACUCUCUCUUGGGGCAGUGGCCGGGGCUCGGGGCUGAGAGCGGCUGUAGGGCCGCCUCCCCGGGCCCCCUGGCUCCGCCAUGUUCCGUAGGGCACGCCUUAGCGUGAAGCCGAAUGUCAGGCCUGGCGUAGGCUCUAGGGGCUCCACCGCCCCCAAUCCCCAGCGUGGACCAGAGACUUCCAGGCCGCCAGAGCCUUCCGUAGCCUCUGCUCCAAAGCCAGCGGAAUCUACAGAUGUGCCCCCAGUGGAUUUCGGGGGAGCGGAACCCCAAGAAAAGACACCCGGCAAUAGUUUCAACAGUGAUAAAAGGACUGAUGAUGAGAGUGAUGUUGAAGAAUCCAGUAAAUCUUCCACUACUGUUUCACAGAGAAAAAAGCGAGUAUCAAGUACUUCUAAUUCGGUUAAGCCUAAUGUCAGCAUUCCUUCAGAACCUCAUCCCUUACCUACAGUUAAUCAAGAAGCUAUACAGCCUAAUUCCAUUCCACCCAAAGAGAAACAGCCAUGUUCCGACAGAUAUCGAAUAUAUAAAGCCCAGAAACUGAGAGAAAUGUUAAAGGAAGAGUUGAGAAAAGAAAAGAAGCAAUGGAAAAACAAGUAUGUAAUAAAUGAAAGUCAGAGACCACCAGAUCGUACAAAAAUGACUAUGAGAGACUUCAUAUAUUACCUGCCAGAUAACAACCC